This is a non-coding RNA of Acanthosepion pharaonis, 111 nucleotides long. NCBI's taxonomy places the organism in Eukaryota, Metazoa, Mollusca, Cephalopoda, Sepiida, Sepiidae. The record is from the annotation of a GenBank genome assembly.
ACGACUUUAUCACGCUGAAACACCAGUUCUCCUACGAUCACCGGAGUUAAGCAAUACCGAAUUUGGUCGGUACCGAGAUGGGUGACCGCUUGGGUAUCCCAGGUGUUGUAU